AUGGCCGAUCGGCGAGGCGACGGCAUGCGCCAGCAGCCCCCUUACUCGUCGGGCCAUCAGGAGCGGGUCUUCGACGGCGGCGGCGGCAGCAGCGGAGGCCCGGCGUUCGGGAACGACUACGAUCCUGGUUCAUCCUACAUGUCGCUUCUUGGCUCCGGCGUCAACCCCCAGCAGUUGCUGCCGGCACCGCCGGCAUGGGCGGUCGAGGAGGUGGCCCCGCCGACGAUUAAUCUCACUCCUCAGUUCUCCAUGGCAAACUAUGUGCCGACGUCGUCCUACCAGCAACAGCAGCACCAGACGGCUGCCUCCUUCGUGGCACCCCUCGCCGCCAAUCUCCACCCCUACCAGUCGUCGUCGUCGUCCUACUUCCAGGCCGACCCGCUGCCGCAAUGGCCUCCGCGGGCAAUGGCGCCGUCGCCCUCCUCCUCCCUGCUGCCCCGCAACUUCACGCUCCACCAAACGCCGGCGUACCCGCACCACCACGAGCAGCAGAUGCACAUGCAGCUGCUGCGCGCGGCGGCGCUGGGCGGCCCGCACGCGGCGCCGGCGCCCCCCAUCGAGCAGCCGGCCAAGGACGGCUACAACUGGCGCAAGUACGGGCAGAAGCAGCUCAAGGACGCCGAGUCGCCGCGGAGCUACUACAAGUGCACCCGGGACGCCUGCCCCGUCAAGAAGAUCGUGGAGCGCUCCUUCGACGGCUGCAUCAAGGAGAUCACCUACAAGGGCCGGCACACCCACCCGCGGCCCCCCGAGCCCCGGCGCGCCGGAGCGGAGGACGUCGCCGCCCCCGGCAGCGCUCAUCAGGAGGACGAGCUGAGCGACGACGAGGAUGACGGCGAGGAGGGCCACGACAUUGGCAGCGGCGCGGGUGGUCCGGCGGGGCAGAGGGUGGUGAGGAAGCACAAGAUCAUACUGCAGACGCCGAGCGAGGUUGAUCUGCUGGACGACGGCUACCGGUGGCGCAAGUACGGCCAGAAAGUGGUCAAGGGCAACCCCCGUCCGAGGAGCUACUACAAGUGCACUGCCGAGAAUUGCAAUGUGCGCAAGCAGAUCGAGAGGGCAUCCAUCGACCCUAGGUGUGUCCUAACGACAUACACUGGGCGGCACAACCACGACCCACCGGGCAGGGGAGCUGGAGCCGCCGCCGCUGCCGGGGCAGGCGGCGGCUCCUCCUCUGAUCCCAUGCCGUCCGCAGCGAACCCGUCCGGCAGCACAUUGCACCAGCCAAGUGGCAUUCAUCAGUUGAAAGAGGAGAACCGGGAUUAA
Molecule: ribosomal RNA, 1266 nt
Filed under: Triticum aestivum (bread wheat)
Lineage: Eukaryota; Viridiplantae; Streptophyta; Magnoliopsida; Poales; Poaceae
Description: partial small subunit ribosomal RNA
Source: RNAcentral